Molecule: ribosomal RNA, 253 nt
Filed under: uncultured bacterium
Lineage: Bacteria
Description: partial 16S ribosomal RNA
Rfam family: Bacterial small subunit ribosomal RNA
Source: RNAcentral
UACGUAGGGUGCAAGCGUUGUCCGGAAUUAUUGGACGUAAAGAGCUCGUAGGCGGUUUGUCGCGUCGGCUGUGAAAACUCGGGGCUCAACCCCGAGCCUGCAGUCGAUACGGGCAGACUAGAGUGUGGUAGGGGAUACUGGAAUUCCUGGUGUAGCGGUGAAAUGCGUAGAUAUCAGGAGGAAUACCUAUGGCGAAAGCAGGUAUCUGGGCCAUCACUGACGCUGAGCUGCGAAAGCUAGGGGAGCAAACAGG